GGGUCGCUGGUCUAGUAGUAUAACGCGUCGCUUCUCUCGAUAAUUAUUUCUCUAUAUAAGCCGGGCCCUGAGAAGCAAUUGGGUCCUAGCGCGAGGUCGUAGGUUCGAAUCCUACGCGAUCUA
Lasiosphaeria ovina is the source of this 123-nucleotide non-coding RNA. Lineage: Eukaryota; Fungi; Ascomycota; Sordariomycetes; Sordariales; Lasiosphaeriaceae. The record is from the annotation of a GenBank genome assembly.